Molecule: ribosomal RNA, 471 nt
Filed under: uncultured bacterium
Lineage: Bacteria
Description: bacterial LSU rRNA
Rfam family: Bacterial large subunit ribosomal RNA
Source: RNAcentral
AACGACUUGGGCGCUGUCUCAACCAUGGACUCGGCGAAAUUGCACUACGAGUAAAGAUGCUCGUUACGCGCGGCAGGACGGAAAGACCCCGGGACCUUUACUACAACUUGGUAUUGGUGUUUGAUUCGACUUGUGUAGGAUAGGUGGGAGACUGUGAAACUUGGACGCCAGUUCAGGUGGAGUCAACGUUGAAAUACCACUCUGGUCGUAUUAGAUGUCUAACCUUGGUCCGUUAUCCGGAUCAGGGACAGUGCCUGGUGGGUAGUUUAACUGGGGCGGUUGCCUCCCAAAAUGUAACGGAGGCGCUCAAAGGUUCCCUCAGCCUGGUUGGCAAUCAGGUAUCGAGUGUAAGUGCACAAGGGAGCUUGACUGUGAGAGUGACAACUCGAGCAGGGACGAAAGUCGGAACUAGUGAUCCGGCGCUGGCAUGUGGAAGCGGCGUCGCUCAACGGAUAAAAAGGUACCCCGGGG